UAAGCCAGUUUUUAUUUGAAUAUUUUUAAAACGAAGAAAAGACAUUUAUUCCACAUAUUGUUUCAUCACCAUAAAUAUUAUCUGUAUGCAAUUUUCUAACCAGCUUCGAACACCCCUCUACCACUCCCGUGUGUUCCAUUGCGAAACAAAGUGGAUGCUGUGGAAGUCUGACAAAUUUCACUACCCAUUCCGUCUUGACGAUCGAGGGAUUUGUCAUUCCGGAGAUCAAUAUAUAAAUCCAGAUAGGGGAGAGUGCUUUUCAGGUAUCAGAAUGAUUAUUUCUUUACUUUCAACUGGAGAACAAAUUUACAUUCGAAUAUUCUAUGGAAUAAGAGAAAACAUUUGCAGCUAGGAAACCUAGUGAAAAAAUAUGCAUGAAAUUGGAGAUUACCAAACAUACAUUAUUUUGUGAAGUGCUGAUGAACCUGAGCUCUAGAAUGAAC
This is a long non-coding RNA of Argiope bruennichi, 443 nucleotides long. RefSeq lists it as uncharacterized. The record is from RefSeq and is a predicted model, not a curated record. NCBI's taxonomy places the organism in Eukaryota, Metazoa, Arthropoda, Arachnida, Araneae, Araneidae. The transcript has 4 exons.